AACGAACGCUGGCGGCAGGCUUAACACAUGCAAGUCGAACGCCCUCUUCGGAGGGAGUGGCAGACGGGUGAGUAACACGUGGGAAUCUACCUAUCUCUGCGGAACAACACAUAGAAAUGUGUGCUAAUACCGCAUACGCCCUCCGGGGGAAAGAUUUAUCGGAGAUAGAUGAGCCCGCGUUUGAUUAGCUAGUUGGUGAGGUAAUGGCUCACCAAGGCGACGAUCAAUAGCUGGUCUGAGAGGAUGAUCAGCCACACUGGGACUGAGACACGGCCCAGACUCCUACGGGAGGCAGCAGUGGGGAAUUUUCCGCAAUGGGCGAAAGCCUGACGGAGCAAGACCGCGUGGGGAA
This 352-nucleotide ribosomal RNA is filed under the name uncultured bacterium. RNAcentral describes it as "bacterial SSU rRNA". It matches the Rfam family "Bacterial small subunit ribosomal RNA", at positions 29 to 408 of the family's 1533-position model. The record is from RNAcentral.